This 489-nucleotide ribosomal RNA is filed under the name uncultured Acidimicrobiales bacterium. Its description in RNAcentral is "partial 16S ribosomal RNA". The record is from RNAcentral. Lineage: Bacteria; Bacillati; Actinomycetota; Acidimicrobiia; Acidimicrobiales.
CACGUAGUUGGCCGGACCUUCUUCUGCAGGUACCGUCAUUUUCGUUCCUGCUGAAAAGGGGUUUACAACCCGAGGGCCUUCAUCCCCCACGCGGCGUUGCUGCGUCAGGCUUUCGCCCAUUGCGCAAGAUUCCCUACUGCUGCCUCCCGUAGGAGUCUGGGCCGUGUCUCAGUCCCAGUGUGGCUGGUCGUCCUCUCAGACCAGCUACCCGUCGACGCCUUGGUAGGCCGUUACCCCACCAACUAGCUGAUAGGCCGCGAGGCCCUCCCGGUCCGCAAAAGCUUUCCUCGGUCGACGAUGUCGUCAUCCGAGCCCAUCUGGUAUUAGCAGCGGUUUCCCGCUGUUAUCCCAGAGAUCGGGGCAGGUUCCUCACGUGUUACUCACCCGUUCGCCACUAGGUCUUCACGAGUGUUGCCACUCGAUGGACCCCGUUCGACUUGCAUGUAUGAAGCACGCCGCCAGCGUCGUCCUGAGCCGAGGAUCAACUAC